Molecule: ribosomal RNA, 497 nt
Filed under: uncultured bacterium
Lineage: Bacteria
Description: partial 16S ribosomal RNA
Rfam family: Bacterial small subunit ribosomal RNA
Source: RNAcentral
GAUGAACGCUGGCGGCGUGCCUAAUACAUGCAAGUCGAGCGAACAGACGAGGAGCUUUCUCCUCUUACGUUAGCGGCGGACGGGUGAGUAACACGUGGAUAACCUACCUAUAAGACUGGGGUAACUUCGGGAAACCGGAGCUAAUAACGGAUAAUAUAUUGAACCGCAUGGAUCAAUAGUGAAAGACGGUUUUUCUGUCACUUAUCGAUGGAUCCGCGCGGCAUUAGGUAGUGGGUGGGGUAACGGCUUACCAAGGCGACGAUGCGUAGCCGACCUGAGAGGAUGACCGGCCACACUGGAACUGAGACACGGUCCAGACUCCUACGGGAGGCAGCAGUGGGGAAUAUUGCACAAUGGGCGCAAGCCUGAUGCAGCCAUGCCGCGUGUAUGAAGAAGGCCUUCGGGUUGUAAAGUACUUUCAGCGGGGAGGAAGGGAGUAAAGUUAAUACCUUCGCUUAUUGACGUUACCCGCAGAAGAAGCACCGGCUAACUCCGUG